GAACGCACAUUGCGCCCGCCAGUAUUCUGGCGGGCAUGCCUGUUCGAGCGUCAUUUCAACCCUCAAGCCCCCGGGCUUGGUGUUGGGGAUCGGCGUGCCCUCGCGGCGCGCCGUCCCCUAAAUCUAGUGGCGGUCUCGCUGUAGCUUCCUCUGCGUAGUAGCAACACUCGCACUGGAACGCAGCGCGGCCACGCCGUUAAACCCCCCACUUCUGAAAGUUUGACCUCGGAUCAGGUAGGAAUACCCGCUGAACUUA
RNAcentral lists this unclassified non-coding RNA (256 nucleotides) under Neonectria candida. RNAcentral's name for it is "sequence contains 5.8S rRNA gene". The stretch from base 1 to 53 matches the Rfam family "5.8S ribosomal RNA", at positions 102 to 154 of the family's 154-position model. The record is from RNAcentral. Lineage: Eukaryota; Fungi; Ascomycota; Sordariomycetes; Hypocreales; Nectriaceae.